GAUUAGAUACCGUCGUAGUCACAACCCUAUACUAUGCGGACUAGUGGUUGAGUUUUGGCAGAUAUGAAAGUUUUUGGACUCUGGGGGAAGUAUGAUCGCAGAUUGAAACUUAAAGGAAUUGACGGAAAGGCACCACAAGGGGUGGAGCGUGCGGCUUAAUUUGACUCAACGCGGGGAAACUUACUAGGGUAGGACAUUAAAAUGAUUGACAAAUUGCUUGAUUUUUCUUGAUAUGGUGGGUGGUGGUGCAUGGCCGAUCUUAGUUGGUGGGGUGACUUGUCUGGUUAAUUCCGAUAACGAACGAGAUCCGAGCAGUUUUGUUGCGUUCCAAAAUGGACCAAUAGAAUAAUGGGAAGUUUCGGGCUAAAUCAGGUCUGUGAUGCCCUUCGAUACUCUGGGCUGCACGCGCGCUACAUUGGAUGAUAGAGCGUGUACGGCCUAACGGCUGUGUGAAUCACAAAUGUCAUUUCGUGAAUGGGAUAGUUUAUUGUAAUUGACGAACUUGAACUAGGAAUCCCUUGUAAGUACUUUGAAUCAUAAUGUAUUGAAUACGUCCCUGCCUUUUGUACACACCGCCCGUCGUUUCUUCCGACUGAUACUCAUUGUGAAUUGCGGGGCAUAACCGCUGUGAAUGCUGGGUAUUGGAGGAAGAAAAAGUUGUAACAAGGUUAUCGUAGGUGAACCUGCAGAAGGAUCA
Molecule: ribosomal RNA, 697 nt
Filed under: uncultured eukaryote
Lineage: Eukaryota
Description: bacterial SSU rRNA
Rfam family: Eukaryotic small subunit ribosomal RNA
Source: RNAcentral